GACGAACGCUGGCGGCGUGCUUAACACAUGCAAGUCGAACGAUGAAGCUGGAGCUUGCUCCGGUGGAUUAGUGGCGAACGGGUGAGUAACACGUGAGCAAUCUGCCCUUGACUCUGGGAUAACUGCGGGAAACUGUAGCUAAUACCGGAUACGAGGCUCGAAGGCAUCUUCGGGUCUGGAAAGAAUUUCGGUCAAGGAUGAGCUCGCGGCCUAUCAGCUUGUUGGUGAGGUAAUGGCUCACCAAGGCGACGACGGGUAGCCGGCCUGAGAGGUGACCGGCCACACUGGGACUGAGACACGGCCCAGACUCCUACGGGAGGCAGCAGUGGGGAAUAUUGCACAAUGGGCGAAAGCCUGAUGCAGCAACGUCGCGUGAGGGAUGAAGGCCUUCGGGUUGUAAACCUCUUUUAGCAGGGAAGAAGCGAAAGUGACGGUACCUGCAGAAAAAGCACCGGCUAACUACGUGCCAGCCGCCGCGGUAA
RNAcentral lists this ribosomal RNA (482 nucleotides) under uncultured bacterium. RNAcentral's name for it is "partial 16S ribosomal RNA". It matches the Rfam family "Bacterial small subunit ribosomal RNA", at positions 28 to 523 of the family's 1533-position model. The record is from RNAcentral.